RNAcentral lists this ribosomal RNA (428 nucleotides) under uncultured Thermoactinomyces sp. RNAcentral describes it as "bacterial SSU rRNA". It matches the Rfam family "Bacterial small subunit ribosomal RNA", at positions 355 to 774 of the family's 1533-position model. Lineage: Bacteria; Bacillati; Bacillota; Bacilli; Caryophanales; Thermoactinomycetaceae. The record is from RNAcentral.
UAGGGAAUUUUCCGCAAUGGGCGAAAGCCUGACGGAGCAACGCCGCGUGAGUGAGGACGGCCUUCGGGUUGUAAAACUCUGUUCUUGAGGAAGAAUUCCUUCCAGGCGAACAGCCUGGAAGGUUGACGGUACUCAAGGAGAAAGCCCCGGCUAACUACGUGCCAGCAGCCGCGGUAAUACGUAGGGGGCGAGCGUUAUCCGGAAUUAUUGGGCGUAAAGCGCGCGCAGGCGGCCGGUUAAGUCAGGUGUGAAAGGCUGCGGCUCAACCGCAGAGCGGCACCUGAAACUGGUCGGCUUGAGUGCAGGAGAGGGGAGCGGAAUUCCCGGUGUAGCGGUGGAAUGCGUAGAGAUCGGGAGGAACACCAGUGGCGAAGGCGGCUCUCUGGCCUGUAACUGACGCUGAGGCGCGAAAGCGUGGGGAGCAAACA